Molecule: ribosomal RNA, 499 nt
Filed under: uncultured Bacteroidota bacterium
Lineage: Bacteria; Pseudomonadati; Bacteroidota
Description: bacterial SSU rRNA
Rfam family: Bacterial small subunit ribosomal RNA
Source: RNAcentral
CAGUGGGGAAUAUUGGACAAUGGACCAAAAGUCUGAUCCAGCAAUUCUGUGUGCACGAUGAAGGUCUUCGGAUCGUAAAGUGCUUUCAGGUGGGAAGAAAAAAAUGACGGUACCACCAGAAGAAGCGACGGCUAAAUACGUGCCAGCAGCCGCGGUAAUACGUAUGUCGCAAGCGUUAUCCGGAAUUAUUGGGCGUAAAGCGCGUCUAGGCGGCCUUUUAAGUCUGAUGUGAAAAUGCGGGGCUCAACUCCGUAUUGCGUUGGAGACUGGAAGGCUAGAGUAUCAGAGAGGUGGGCGGAACUACAAGUGUAGAGGUGAAAUUCGUAGAUAUUUGUAGGAAUGCCGAUUGGGAAGCCAGCUCACUGGAUGAAUACUGACGCUGAAGCGCGAAAGCGUGGGGAGCAAACGGGAUUAGAUACCCCGGUAGUCCACGCCGUAAACGAUGAUCACUAAGUGUGGGGGGUCGAACCUCCGUGCUCAAGCUAACGCGAUAAGUGAU